Non-coding RNA from Nicotiana tabacum (common tobacco), 1541 nucleotides. The record is from RefSeq and is a predicted model, not a curated record. Lineage: Eukaryota; Viridiplantae; Streptophyta; Magnoliopsida; Solanales; Solanaceae.
UUGACUAGGCUAUGGAUUUUCAAUUUACGAGUCCAAGUAUUUUCACCCCUCAGUCAAAGUUAUGGAGAUGGAUUCUUUAUCCUAACGCCAUUCCCCGACAUUUGCCUUCGUGCUCGCUUCAUUAAAAAGCGAAGUAGUGCUGUAACAUCUAUUUCCCCAAUUGAAGAAGAGAGCUCCAAUUCUCUGUUUGACACUUCAAAUGACUCAUAAACUCACUGCGUUCUUCACAAAAAUCUUGCUUCCGUUCUUCAUACUGUCCACUCUCUCUCUUCCUAACAGAUAUUCAGCAGAUGCUUCUACAGAAACAGAAAAGACAUUGGCUAUAAUAAAGCCAGAUGGAGUUUCUGGAAACUAUACAAAUUCCAUAAAGGAAACAAUUCUUGAUCAUGGAUUCAAAAUCACUGAGGAAUUGUUCAUUCAGCUUGACGAGGAUCAUGUGAAAAGCUUUUAUGCUGAGCACUCCUCAAGGAGCUUCUUUCCAAGCCUUGUUGAGUACAUGGCCAGUGGUCCAGUGUUGAUAAUGGUUUUGGAGAAAGGGAAUGCCAUAGCUGACUGGCGUGCAUUAAUUGGUCCAACAGACCCACUCAAAGCAAAGGUUACUCAUCCUUACAGGUACCUUCUCCUCUCUUCCUUUUUUAUUUUUUAAAAUUUUCGGCUCUGUUAUUAUUACAUAGGUCAUACAAUUAGAAGAUUAGAAAGUUAAAUAGAUAGUUUGUCUUACUUACAAAAAAAAAAGGGUACUACCGCAUUUCUCAAAGAUUUGCUUUUGAAAAUUGAAACGUUGUAAUGUAUGUGCAACUCUCGAUUUCCCUUAGUCUGAGGUUGCGUUUCUGCAAAGAAGCUGUCUCCUUCAUGGCAUUACUUUGUAACAUUUACUGAUAUUCUUGCAAAUUCUGAAUCUUCUCCUCCCACAUAUGUUAAAAGUUUAUCUAAAACAGCUAGUUGCUUCUUUUCUAUGUUAUUAGCUUUUACAAGUUUUGUUUUCCUACCUUACAAGAUGUUGAAGUUGUCGGUAAUGCCUAUGACUUUAAUGACCCCAUACAUAGUUAAAGGAAUUCACAGUCUAAGUUACUUGUAAUGGCACCUACGUGGUGCUGUUUUCAUUAAUAUACGUACCCACAACAGAAAAAUAAAUUAAUAAAUAAAAUGUACCAGUGUUAUUAAAAGCGCUCGCUUCUUGCUUUAAGCGAUGAGGCGAGGCACAGGGUUAGCGCUUUUCUGCUAAAAAAGCGACUCACAUUCAAAAAGCGUGAGCUUUUCUUGCUUAAGCGAGAAGCGAGCCGAUAGAAAAAGCGAGAAAAAGCGUGCUUAAGCGAGCAGAAGGCAUCAGCUAGGGUUUUUAUAAAAAAAUUUGGCAAAUAAACCAUCUGUGAACAAACAAACAUACGCGACUUUUUCUCCAGCGAACUCCAGCGACGACCACUGCUGCUUCAACGACUUCUUCUCCAGAUCUCGUGUUAGAGCUAUAUGUGGGCUGGAUUUACAGAAGAAUUGUGUUCAUGGUUCUGACUCACCUCAGUCUGCAGCCCAGGAAAUAACUU